RNAcentral lists this unclassified non-coding RNA (568 nucleotides) under Hevea brasiliensis (rubber tree). The record is from RNAcentral. Lineage: Eukaryota; Viridiplantae; Streptophyta; Magnoliopsida; Malpighiales; Euphorbiaceae.
GAACAUUGCAGGAUCUAUGACUUCCUGCUAUGUAGCAACUGGUUCAUUUUCAAGGACUGCUGUGAAUUUCAGUGCAGGAUGCGAAAGUGUAAUAUCCAAUAUAGUAAUGGCUAUUACAGUAUUUUUGUCACUGGAACUGUUCACUAGGCUCUUGUACUACACUCCCAUUGCCAUCCUUGCUUCAAUCAUUCUAUCAGCUCUUCCUGGACUCAUUAACAUCCAUGAAGCUUACUACAUCUGGAAGGUCGAUAAGCUAGAUUUCCUCGCCUGCAUUGGUGCUUUCUUUGGUGUCUUGUUUGCUUCAGUGGAAAUCGGUCUUCUUGUUGCGGUAACUAUCUCUUUUGCCAAGAUAUUGCUAAACGCCAUUCGACCGGGAAUAGAAGAACUUGGAAGGCUUCCAAGAACAGACACCUAUUGUGACAUCAAUCAAUAUCCCAUGGCCAUCAAAACUCCAGGCAUUUUAAUAGUCCGUGUCAACUCUGCCCCACUUUGCUUUGCUAAUGCCAAUUUUAUAAGAGAAAGGAUAACGAGAUGGGUGAUAGAGGAAGAGGAUAAAUCUAAAGAAAGC